AGAGUUUGAUCCUGGCUCAGGACGAACGCUGGCGGCGUGCCUAAUACAUGCAAGUAGAACGCUGAAGAGAGGAGCUUGCUCUUCUUGGAUGAGUUGCGAACGGGUGAGUAACGCGUAGGUAACCUGCCUUGUAGCGGGGGAUAACUAUUGGAAACGAUAGCUAAUACCGCAUAACAAUGGAUGACACAUGUCAUUUAUUUGAAAGGGGCAAUUGCUCCACUACAAGAUGGACCUGCGUUGUAUUAGCUAGUAGGUGAGGUAACGGCUCACCUAGGCGACGAUACAUAGCCGACCUGAGAGGGUGAUCGGCCACACUGGGACUGAGACACGGCCCAGACUCCUACGGGAGGCAGCAGUAGGGAAUCUUCGGCAAUGGGGGCAACCCUGACCGAGCAACGCCGCGUGAGUGAAGAAGGUUUUCGGAUCGUAAAGCUCUGUUGUAAGUCAAGAACGAGUGUGAGAGUGGAAAGUUCACAC
Molecule: ribosomal RNA, 477 nt
Filed under: Streptococcus sp. oral clone BP2-39
Lineage: Bacteria; Bacillati; Bacillota; Bacilli; Lactobacillales; Streptococcaceae
Description: bacterial SSU rRNA
Rfam family: Bacterial small subunit ribosomal RNA
Source: RNAcentral